Molecule: ribosomal RNA, 253 nt
Filed under: uncultured bacterium
Lineage: Bacteria
Description: partial 16S ribosomal RNA
Rfam family: Bacterial small subunit ribosomal RNA
Source: RNAcentral
UACAGAGGGGGCAAGCGUUGUUCGGAAUUACUGGGCGUAAAGGGCGCGUAGGCGGCCCGCUAAGUCGAACGUGAAAUCCCCGGGCUCAACCCGGGAACUGCGUCCGAUACUGGCAGGCUUGAAUCCGGGAGAGGGAUGUGGAAUUCCAGGUGUAGCGGUGAAAUGCGUAGAUAUCUGGAGGAACACCGGUGGCGAAGGCGGGUCUCUGGGCCGAUACUGACGCUGAGGAGCGAAAGCGUGGGGAGCGAACAGG